Molecule: ribosomal RNA, 305 nt
Filed under: uncultured bacterium
Lineage: Bacteria
Description: bacterial SSU rRNA
Rfam family: Bacterial small subunit ribosomal RNA
Source: RNAcentral
GCCUACGGGAGGCAGCAGUGAGGAAUAUUGGUCAAUGGGAGAGAUCCUGAACCAGCCAAGCCGCGUGAGGGAAGACGGCCCUAUGGGUUGUAAACCUCUUUUGUCGGAGAACAAAACCCGGGACGUGUCCCGGACUGCGUGUAUCCGAAGAAAAAGCAUCGGCUAACUCCGUGCCAGCAGCCGCGGUAAUACGGAGGAUGCGAGCGUUAUCCGGAUUUAUUGGGUUUAAAGGGUGCGUAGGCGGUCUGUUAAGUCAGCGGUAAAAUUGCGGGGCUCAACCCCGUCUAGCCGUUGAAACUGGCAGG